AUUGAACGCUGGCGGCAUGCCUUACACAUGCAAGUCGAACGGUAACAGGUCUUCGGAUGCUGACGAGUGGCGAACGGGUGAGUAAUACAUCGGAACGUGCCCGAUCGUGGGGGAUAACGAGGCGAAAGCUUUGCUAACACCGCAUACGAUCUACGGAUGAAAGCGGGGGAUCUUCGGACCUCGCGCGGACGGAGCGGCCGAUGGCAGAUUAGGUAGUUGGUGGGAUAAAAGCUUACCAAGCCGACGAUCUGUAGCUGGUCUGAGAGGAUGAUCAGCCACACUGGGACUGAGACACGGCCCAGACUCCUACGGGAGGCAGCAGUGGGGAAUUUUGGACAAUGGGCGAAAGCCUGAUCCAGCCAUGCCGCGUGCAGGAUGAAGGCCUUCGGGUUGUAAACUGCUUUUGUACGGAACGAAAAGCCUCUUUCUAAUAAAGAGGGGUCAUGACGGUACCGUAAGAAUAAGCACCGGCUAACUACGUG
Molecule: ribosomal RNA, 482 nt
Filed under: uncultured bacterium
Lineage: Bacteria
Description: partial 16S ribosomal RNA
Rfam family: Bacterial small subunit ribosomal RNA
Source: RNAcentral